This 865-nucleotide long non-coding RNA is filed under the name Homo sapiens (human). RNAcentral describes it as "HSALNT0064234". Lineage: Eukaryota; Metazoa; Chordata; Mammalia; Primates; Hominidae. The record is from RNAcentral.
CAAGAAGGAGGCAGACACAGGCCUGGUUAGACACCUGGUGCAACAGUGGAUCUGAGCCGGAGAAAUGAACAGUGCCCCAGUGGUCUGCAUUUUUUCAGUCUCCCAGCUUUAGCCCUUGGUCUCGGCGCCCAGCCAAAAAUUGGUAUCUUUAUUUUAAAAAAGAAAUAAAAUCUCUUCUUCACAUUUUAUGCAGAUUUGAAUUAAAAGAGAAUUAUAGAUUUAAAUAUGAAAGGUAAAACUAUGAAGAUUUUACUAGAUAAUAUAGGAGAGUAUCUUAAUCUGUCUGGGGUUAGAAAAGAUUACUUACACAUUUUUCCAAAAGUUAAUUAUAGAAGGCAUGAUUGAUGUCUACAUUAAAAUUAAGAACUUCCAGUCAUGAAAAGACAUCAUUAAAAGACAAAGUCACAGAGUAGAUGUUCACAAUACAUGUAAAUGACAAAAGGACUCAUAUCCAGACUAUAUAAAAAACUAAAAAAAAAAAAAGUCAGACAUUCCUAUAGAAAAACAGGUACUUCAUAAGUGAGGGAAUCCUGGCUGGGCACGGUGGCUGACACUUGUAUUCCCAGCACUUUGGGAGGCUGAGGCAGGUGGAUCACUUGAGGCCAGGAGUUCAAGACCAGCCUGGCCAACAUGGUGAAAUCCCAUCUCUACCAAAAAUACAAAAAUUAGCCAGAUGUGGUGGCACGUGCCUGUAGUCCCAGCUACUCAAGAGGCUGAGGCAGGAGAACUCCUUGAAUACGGGAGAUGAAGGUUGCAAUGAGCCGAAAUAGUGCCCCUGGGCCACAGAGUGUGACUCUGUCAACAACAACAGCAACAGCAAAAGUUGAAAUGAUUCUAAAGUUUGUAGAGGAAAACAGCUGAGACC